Molecule: long non-coding RNA, 1043 nt
Organism: Neopelma chrysocephalum (saffron-crested tyrant-manakin)
Lineage: Eukaryota; Metazoa; Chordata; Aves; Passeriformes; Pipridae
Exons: 3
Source: RefSeq, a predicted model, not a curated record
CAUUCAUCUGCUGCCUGUGGUUGGUGACUGACACUAAAUCAAGGCUCAGACACAUUAAACCACUAAUUACUGUUGAUUUCUUCAUCUAUUCUUUCUUUUCUCCAGGGCAAUAUGGAUAUAUGGGAAUAUAUCCAUAUGCGCGUGCUGCCUUUGGGCAUACUUCUACCCCAGUCCUGUAGCACAGCUUGGUGCAAGAUGGAGGAGGUGCAAAGCUGGUGUAAAUCUCACCUGGCUCAGGAGCAUCAUUUCAACUGCUCAGGGGGCUCCAGAAGCUAAACUUUGGCAAACAGGGAUCAGUGACCAGGGCAGCCUGGGCACAAACAAAACUUCUUUGCUCUUCAGCAAUGAAUAACUUCAUCUGAGCUGAAGCAAGACUGGAGGAAGGCUGAUAAAAAGCAAUCCAAAGGUCCCCAGUGGAUCCAACCUGUCAGCUCUGACUGUGCACAGGGAUGAGAUGCCCUCAGCAGUGUGAGGUUUGAUCAGACCCAUCCAAACACAGAGAUAAGACAAUCUUCUUCAAUAAUUGAAGUGGUAUUAAGGUCAGGCCUCUCACUUUUAGUGCUUUUCAACUCUCUUGCCACUUAUUUCCUUUCUCUUUGCAGAGAAAUUACACUUCUCUCGGUUUGGCAUUUGUUCUGCUCUGUGCCAGGGGCUCCCAGCAGCUCCAGCACAGCCUGACCUCCCAGAGCAGUGGGAAUAUCAUCACUUGUUUUCAUGGAGACUAGAGGAAAGGGAUAAAUAAAUGUGGCUAGGAACAGCAAGGCUUCACCUGCUGCCUGCAGGAUAAACCAGGGGGAGCCAUGGUCUGGUUGUGAGGUUACACAAAGAAGAGGGGACAGCCCCAGGUGUUGUCCCUGUCUCUGUGUCACCAGGGCCAUGGCUGCUGCUGUGGGAUUUGUGUGGCCUCAUCAUUCCCAAGGGAUGGGGAGCAAACCCCAACCCAUGUGCUGCUUCACCAGGGCUGCCCCUCAAGAACCAACGUGGUGGGCUUGGAGCAACCUGGGAUAGUGGAAGGUGCCCCUGUCCACGGCAGGGGUGGGAUG